Etheostoma spectabile (orangethroat darter) is the source of this 73-nucleotide non-coding RNA. The record is from the annotation of a RefSeq genome assembly. NCBI's taxonomy places the organism in Eukaryota, Metazoa, Chordata, Actinopteri, Perciformes, Percidae.
GGCACUGUAGCUUAGUGGUUAAAGCACCUGUCUUGUAAACAGGAGAUCCUGAGUUCAAUCCCUAGCAGUGCCU